GGGGGUAUAGCUCAGUGGCAGAGUAUAUGCACAGCAUGCACGAGGUCUUAGGUUCAAUCCCCAGUACCUCCA
RNAcentral lists this transfer RNA (72 nucleotides) under Camelus dromedarius (Arabian camel). It matches the Rfam family "tRNA". Rfam says of the family: Transfer RNA (tRNA) molecules are approximately 80 nucleotides in length. Their secondary structure includes four short double-helical elements and three loops (D, anti-codon, and T loops). RNAcentral also lists the same sequence under 1 other name. The record is from Rfam by way of RNAcentral. Lineage: Eukaryota; Metazoa; Chordata; Mammalia; Artiodactyla; Camelidae.